AGCUCCAUUAGCGUAUAUUAAAGUUGUUGCAGUUAAAAAGCUCGUAGUUGGAUUUCUGAGUGCACUGGCCAGGCCGGGGCCGUCAAGGCCCUCGCGCCCGGUCCAGGCCUCAUGCUCGGGUCGGUCCGGUCUGGCAUUAGGUUGUCGGGUCGGGGAAGCCCGUCGUUUACUGUGAAAAAAUUAGAGUGUUCAAAGCAGGCUUAGGCCCUUGAAUACAUUAGCAUGGAAUAAUGAGAUAAGACCGUGGUGUUUUAUUUUGUUGGUUUGCACGCCAAGGUAAUGAUUAACAGGGACAGUUGGGGGUAUUCGUAUUCAAUUGUCAGAGGUGAAAUUCUUGGAUUUAUGGAAGACGAACUACUGCGAAAGCAUUUACCAAGGAUGUUUUCAUUAAUCAAGAACG
This 400-nucleotide ribosomal RNA is filed under the name phytoplankton environmental sample. RNAcentral describes it as "partial small subunit ribosomal RNA". It matches the Rfam family "Eukaryotic small subunit ribosomal RNA", at positions 587 to 985 of the family's 1831-position model. The record is from RNAcentral.